Non-coding RNA from Podarcis lilfordi (Lilford's wall lizard), 75 nucleotides. The record is from the annotation of a GenBank genome assembly. NCBI's taxonomy places the organism in Eukaryota, Metazoa, Chordata, Lepidosauria, Squamata, Lacertidae.
GGGCUGUAGCUCAGUGAGUGGUACAGCAUCUGCUUUGCAUGCAGAAAGUUCCAGGUUUAAUCCCUAACAGCUCCA